AACGAACGCUGGCGGCAUGCCUAACACAUGCAAGUCGAACGAGACCUUCGGGUCUAGUGGCGCACGGGUGCGUAACGCGUGGGAACCUGCCCUUAGGUUCGGAAUAACUCCCCGAAAGGGGUGCUAAUACCGGAUAAUGUCUUCGGACCAAAGAUUUAUCGCCUUUGGAUGGGCCCGCGUUGGAUUAGCUAGUUGGUAGGGUAAAAGCCUACUAAGGCGACGAUCCAUAGCUGGUCUGAGAGGAUGAUCAGCCACACUGGGACUGAGACACGGCCCAGACUCCUACGGGAGGCAGCAGUGGGUAAUAUUGGACAAUAGGCGAAAGCCUGAUCCAGCAAUGCCGCGUGAGUGAUGAAGGCCUUAGGGUUGUAAAGCUCUUUUACCCGGGAUGAUAAUGACAGUACCGGGAGAAUAAGCUCCGGCUAACUCCGUG
RNAcentral lists this ribosomal RNA (433 nucleotides) under uncultured bacterium. RNAcentral describes it as "partial 16S ribosomal RNA". It matches the Rfam family "Bacterial small subunit ribosomal RNA", at positions 29 to 507 of the family's 1533-position model. The record is from RNAcentral.